RNAcentral lists this ribosomal RNA (478 nucleotides) under uncultured bacterium. RNAcentral's name for it is "partial 16S ribosomal RNA". It matches the Rfam family "Bacterial small subunit ribosomal RNA", at positions 28 to 523 of the family's 1533-position model. The record is from RNAcentral.
GACGAACGCUGGCGGCGUGCUUAACACAUGCAAGUCGAGCGAUGAAGUUCCUUCGGGAACGGAUUAGCGGCGGACGGGUGAGUAACACGUGGGUAACCUGCCUCAUAGAGGGGAAUAGCCUUUCGAAAGGAAGAUUAAUACCGCAUAAGAUUGUAGUUUCGCAUGAAACAGCAAUUAAAGGAGUAAUCCGCUAUGAGAUGGACCCGCGUCGCAUUAGCUAGUUGGUGAGGUAACGGCUCACCAAGGCGACGAUGCGUGGCCGACCUGAGAGGGUGAUCGGCCACAUUGGGACUGAGACACGGCCCAGACUCCUACGGGAGGCAGCAGUGGGGAAUAUUGCACAAUGGGGGAAACCCUGAUGCAGCAACGCCGCGUGAGUGAUGACGGUCUUCGGAUUGUAAAACUCUGUCUUCAGGGACGAUAAUGACGGUACCUGAGGAGGAAGCCACGGCUAACUACGUGCCAGCAGCCGCGGUAA